AUGCUGUUAAAACAUCUUGAUUUAUAUAUCAGCACACUCCGCCAGAAAAACUUGUCUCUGCAGUGUUCAAUUUUACCUGAAUGCUACUCCGACAUUUGGUGUCAUAUACAUUCCCUAAUGACGCUCCGAGAUGCUGCUCAUGCUGCCUGUUUGUCUCAUGCUUUUCUACGUUCCUGGAGAUGCCAUCCCAAUCUCAUAUUUGAUCAUGGAAUACUAUUCCAGUUGAGACAUGUCCUCGCCAGCACAGUGAAUCACAUUUUUGAAAAUCGCUCGGGCAUUGGUGUGAAGACACUCAAACUAGAUUUCUCCUGUUACCACGAGCCCAAGGCCUAUUCAUAUCUCCAUAGGUGGCUUCGGAUAGCUGUUACACCAGGCACUGAAAAACUUGUCGUUCUGUCUGCGAGUGAUGUAGCAUUCAACUUCCCAUGGUCAAUCCUAUCUGAUGGGAACGGAAGCACGAUCCGGCAUCUUCACCUUGUUGACUGUGGCUUCCAUCCUACAGUCAGUCUUGUUUGCAUGAGGAGCCUGACAGUGUUGCAUUUCGAUCGUGUGGCAGUUACGGGGGACGAGUUAGGGUACCUUUUCUCCAGCUGUGUUGCUUUGGAGCAGUUGAAACUCAGGAGAUGCUCCAAGAUAACUUGCUUGAAGAUACCUUUCGAGAUGCAGCGGCUCAGCUACCUGCAGGUGUCGGUAUGCCACAAACUGCGAAUGAUAAAGAAUGAAGCUCCAAAUAUUUGUAGUUUUGACUUUUUAGGUGACCGUAUAGAGAUCUCACUCGGAGAUUCACUGCGACUGAAGAACCUAGAUGUGCUGUGUAACAACGUCCUCCGUAAUGCACGUGAAGAGUUCCCAUCCAGUGCGCCGAAUCUUGAAACUCUUAGCAUAUUUUCACGUCACGAGGUAGCCAAUACAGCCAUGGCGUUCGCGCCUAGCAAGUUCCUCCACCUGAAGCACUUGAGUAUUUCUAUUGCAGUGGCCUACGAUUAUUUGUCUCUGGUUUAUUUUCUUGAUGCUGCUCCGUCCUUGGAGACGUUCAAACUGCAUGUACUGAUAGGGUUGCGACCCGCCGAUGAACUGCGUUUGGAAGAUCCCUCACAUCUUCGGCAGAUUCCAGGAUACCGACAUGACAAGCUUCGGAGUGUGAAGAUCUCUACGUUCUACUCUUCAAAGGGGAUGGUUGAGCUGGUGUCCCACGGAUUGUAG
RNAcentral lists this ribosomal RNA (1203 nucleotides) under Triticum aestivum (bread wheat). RNAcentral describes it as "partial small subunit ribosomal RNA". Lineage: Eukaryota; Viridiplantae; Streptophyta; Magnoliopsida; Poales; Poaceae. The record is from RNAcentral.